RNAcentral lists this ribosomal RNA (253 nucleotides) under uncultured bacterium. Its description in RNAcentral is "partial 16S ribosomal RNA". It matches the Rfam family "Bacterial small subunit ribosomal RNA", at positions 524 to 776 of the family's 1533-position model. The record is from RNAcentral.
AACGUAGGUGGCGAGCGUUAUCCGGAUUUACUGGGCGUAAAGCGCGCGCAGGCGGCACUGUAAGUAAGGUGUGAAAUAUCCCUGCUCAACGGGGAGGGUGCACUUUAGACUGCAGAGCUAGAGGACGGUAGAGGGGGGUGGAAUUGCUGGUGUAGCGGUGAAAUGCGUAGAGAUCAGCAGGAACACCCGUGGCGAAGGCGGCCCCCUGGGCCGAACCUGACGCUGAGGCGCGAAGGCUAGGGGAGCGAACGGG